Molecule: ribosomal RNA, 355 nt
Filed under: uncultured bacterium
Lineage: Bacteria
Description: partial 16S ribosomal RNA
Rfam family: Bacterial small subunit ribosomal RNA
Source: RNAcentral
CCUACGGGUGGCAGCAGUGAGGAAUAUUGGUCAAUGGACGAGAGUCUGAACCAGCCAAGUAGCGUGAAGGAUGACUGCCCUAUGGGUCGUAAACUUCUUUUAUAAAGGAAUAAAACGAGGCACGUGUGCCUUUUUGCAUGUACUUUAUGAAUAAGGAUCGGCUAACUCCGUGCCAGCAGCCGCGGUAAUACGGAGGAUCCGAGCGUUAUCCGGAUUUAUUGGGUUUAAAGGGAGCGUAGAUGGGUUGUUAAGUCAGUUGUGAAAGUUUGCGGCUCAACCGUAAAAUUGCAAUUGAUACUGGCAGUAUGGAGUACAGUGGGGGUAAGCGGAUGUGGUGGGGGAGGGGUAAAAUGCU